UACGAAGGGGGCUAGCGUUGCUCGGAAUCAUUGGGCGUAAAGGGUGCGUAGGCGGCGCGGUAAGUCGGGUGUGAAAUCUCGGAGCUUAACUCCGAAACUGCAUUCGAUACUGCCGUGCUUGAGGACUGGAGAGGAGACUGGAAUUUACGGUGUAGCGGUGAAAUGCGUAGAUAUCGUAAGGAAGACCAGUGGUGAAGGCGGGUCUCUGGACAGUUCCUGACGCUGAGGCACGAAGGUCAGGGGAGCAAACGGG
RNAcentral lists this ribosomal RNA (253 nucleotides) under uncultured bacterium. Its description in RNAcentral is "partial 16S ribosomal RNA". It matches the Rfam family "Bacterial small subunit ribosomal RNA", at positions 524 to 776 of the family's 1533-position model. The record is from RNAcentral.